This 253-nucleotide ribosomal RNA is filed under the name uncultured bacterium. RNAcentral describes it as "partial 16S ribosomal RNA". It matches the Rfam family "Bacterial small subunit ribosomal RNA", at positions 524 to 776 of the family's 1533-position model. The record is from RNAcentral.
GACGAACCGUGCGAACGUUGUUCGGAAUCACUGGGCUUAAAGGGCGCGUAGGCGGGUCGAAAAGUCCGUGGUGAAAUCCCCCCGCUCAACGGGGGAACGGCCGCGGAUACUGUCGGCCUCGAGGGAGGUAGGGGCGAGCGGAACGCUGGGUGGAGCGGUGAAAUGCGUUGAUAUCCAGCGGAACUCCCGUGGCGAAGGCGGCUCUCUGGGACGGUACUGACGCUGAGACGCGAAAGCGUGGGGAGCGAACAGG